Molecule: ribosomal RNA, 497 nt
Filed under: uncultured bacterium
Lineage: Bacteria
Description: partial 16S ribosomal RNA
Rfam family: Bacterial small subunit ribosomal RNA
Source: RNAcentral
GAUGAACGCUGGCGGCGUGCCUAAUACAUGCAAGUCGAGCGAACAGACGCGGAGUUUGCUCCUCUGACGUUUGCGGCGGACGGGUGAGUAACACGUGGAUCACCUACUUAUAAGACUGGGAUCACUUCGGGAAACCGGAGCUAAUACCGGAUAAUAUAUUGCACCGCAUGGUUCAAUAGUGAAAGACGGCUUUGCUGUCACUUAUCGCUGGAUCCGCGCUGCAUUAGCUAGUUGGUAAGGUAACGGCUUAUCAAGGCGACGAUGCGUAGCCGACCUGAGAGGGGGAUCGGCCACACGGGAACGGGGACGGGCUCCAGACGCCUGCGGGAGGCAGCAGUAGGGAAUGUGACGCAAUGGGCGAAAGCCUUACAGAGCAGCGCCGAGUGUGUGACGAAGGUCUUCGGAUCGUAAAGCUGGGUUAUGAGGUAAGAACAAAUUUGGAAGUAGCUAUGCACUGCUUGACGGUACCGAAUCAGAAAGCCACGGCUAACUACGUG